UCUGCUCCCUCACGAUAAGGGUCAUAGAGCGUAUUAAAGAAGAAAGGGGUGGCUGGAGUUGUCAGGUUCAUAAUAUGCUGGUCCACAGCAUCUACCAAGAAACCUUUUUCAUCCUUGGCUGGAACACAGUCAUCAUCAAUCGAAACAAUGUACUUUUUACGUGAUAUGAGAAAGCCAAAAUACCUGCAAGAAUAUCCAGAGAAGAGAACAGAAGUGGAAGAGCCCACUACAUGAUCCAUAUGAGACUUAGUAUAAACAUCUACAUUAAAUCCUUCUGGUAUCUUGAGUUC
This 290-nucleotide unclassified non-coding RNA is filed under the name Hevea brasiliensis (rubber tree). Lineage: Eukaryota; Viridiplantae; Streptophyta; Magnoliopsida; Malpighiales; Euphorbiaceae. The record is from RNAcentral.